AGCUUCUCGUUCUAAAGCUGAGGAGGCACAAACAUUGCGCCUGUUGUCUUCUGGUUCUAAUGCUGAGCAACCACAAAUAGCUCCUUUGCCGGAUGCUAAUCAGCAGAUCAUUGCACGGUGUGAGCCAGUGCAGAAUGAUGAUAUCAUUAUUGAAGAUCUUAUGCAACGCCAUGAUGUGCUGCUAAAUUCGUUUAGAUCUCGUUUGACAAAGCUGCAGGUAGUUCGUCACUACUGGGAACGGAAUGACAUCAGGGGUGCUUUUGAGGCCUUGAGGAAGUUGUCAGAUUAUUCUGUGCAAGCUGAUGUUGUGAGUGUCCUCGUAGAUAAAAUGGAGAUUAUCACUUUGGAUUUGUUUUCCUUCUUGUUGCCUGUACUGUUAGCCUUACUUGAAACUAAGAUAGAAAGGCAUGCAAAUGUUUCCCUGGAGCUGUUGUUGAAACUUGUUGCAGUCUUU
Molecule: unclassified non-coding RNA, 454 nt
Filed under: Hevea brasiliensis (rubber tree)
Lineage: Eukaryota; Viridiplantae; Streptophyta; Magnoliopsida; Malpighiales; Euphorbiaceae
Source: RNAcentral